UACGGGAUAGAGCAGUCCGGUAGCUCACUAGGCCCAUAACCGGUUCAAUUCCUGUUCCCGUAC
This 63-nucleotide transfer RNA is filed under the name Allium cepa (onion). RNAcentral's name for it is "tRNA-Leu". The record is from RNAcentral. Lineage: Eukaryota; Viridiplantae; Streptophyta; Magnoliopsida; Asparagales; Amaryllidaceae.